This 317-nucleotide long non-coding RNA is filed under the name Arachis ipaensis. Its description in RNAcentral is "long non-coding RNA (AIPA_LNC000414)". The record is from RNAcentral. Lineage: Eukaryota; Viridiplantae; Streptophyta; Magnoliopsida; Fabales; Fabaceae.
CAAGAAAUAAAAAAUGUUACUAACAAAUUAAAACUUAGCAACAAUAAUUAGUUAGAACCUUAAUGACCUGCUGAAUUCCUUCCAAGACAUUGGAUUCUUUGGAUCCGGAGCAUGUUUAUUAUGAUUCUUUUUGCUUCCAAAAAUAAAGGGCUUCAUCAAUUUCUUGAGGACCCUAUGGAAUGCGGAACCAUGGCCACGGCCGCGACCGCGACCGUGACCACGACCUUGCUUCACUUGUUGAGUCACAAGUGGAGUUGAAGUUGUUGGUGCAACACUGAAGAACUUUGAAGAAGAUGAAGGAUGAGAGACUGAUGAGG